RNAcentral lists this ribosomal RNA (643 nucleotides) under uncultured delta proteobacterium. Its description in RNAcentral is "bacterial SSU rRNA". It matches the Rfam family "Bacterial small subunit ribosomal RNA", at positions 8 to 664 of the family's 1533-position model. The record is from RNAcentral. Lineage: Bacteria; Deltaproteobacteria.
AGAGUUUGAUCCUGGCUCAGAGCGAACGUUUGCGGCGGGCCUAACACAUGCAAGUCGAACGAGAACCCUUCGGGGGGAAAGUGGCGCACGGGUGCGUAACACGUGGAUAAUCAACCCUUUGGUCGGGGACAACACCGGGAAACUGGUGCUAAUACCGGAUAAGCCUCAUUGAGGGAAAGACCCGCAAGGGUUGCCAUUGGACGAGUCCGCGGCCCAUCAGCUAGUUGGUAGGGUAAUGGCCUACCAAGGCAAAGACGGGUAGCUGGUCUGAGAGGAUGAUCAGCCACACUGGAACUGAGACACGGUCCAGACUCCUACGGGAGGCAGCAGUGGGGAAUAUUGCGCAAUGGGCGAAAGCCUGACGCAGCCACGCCGCGUGAGCGAUGAAGGUCUUCGGAUUGUAAAGCUCUGUGGAGAGAGAAGAAGAAAGCCUGUGAAGAGCAGGCCUUGACGGUAUCUCUUUAGCAAGCACCGGCUAACUCCGUGCCAGCAGCCGCGGUAAUACGGAGGGUGCAAACGUUGCUCGGAAUCAUUGGGCGUAAAGCGCGCGUAGGCGGUUUGGUAAGUUGGAUGUGAAAGCCCUGGGCUCAACCUAGGAAGUGCAUUCAAAACUGCCAGACUUGAAUCCCGGAGGGGGCCAGAG